RNAcentral lists this ribosomal RNA (253 nucleotides) under uncultured bacterium. Its description in RNAcentral is "partial 16S ribosomal RNA". It matches the Rfam family "Bacterial small subunit ribosomal RNA", at positions 524 to 776 of the family's 1533-position model. The record is from RNAcentral.
UACGUAGGGUGCAAGCGUUGUCCGGAAUUAUUGGGCGUAAAGAGCUCGUAGGCGGUUUGUCGCGUCGAAUGUGAAAACCCGGGGCUCAACCCCGGGCCUGCAUUCGAUACGGGCAGACUAGAGUUCGGUAGGGGAGUCUGGAAUUCCCGGUGUAGCGGUGAAAUGCGCAGAUAUCGGGAGGAACACCAGUAGCGAAGGCGGCACUCUGGGCCGGUACUGACGCUGAGGAGCGAAAGCGUGGGGAGCAAACAGG